This 202-nucleotide long non-coding RNA is filed under the name Olea europaea (common olive). Its description in RNAcentral is "long non-coding RNA (OEUR_LNC001528)". Lineage: Eukaryota; Viridiplantae; Streptophyta; Magnoliopsida; Lamiales; Oleaceae. The record is from RNAcentral.
GACGCCAAAAAUAAGUAUAAAGAUAGGGACAAAGUCGAGGCAAGAGUUGGACUCUUUGUCCUUAAGUCGAAUUUGCCCCGCAACGGUGCCUACGGAUUUCGGCAAUCGACUCCCAAGAUACAACGGCUACACUUGUGUUUGUAGCACUCCAAAACACAAGUACAACGAACCAAAUUUAGGUUUAUGUACUCCAAUGAUGAAA